Molecule: long non-coding RNA, 228 nt
Filed under: Elaeis guineensis (African oil palm)
Lineage: Eukaryota; Viridiplantae; Streptophyta; Magnoliopsida; Arecales; Arecaceae
Description: long non-coding RNA (EGUI_LNC012071)
Source: RNAcentral
ACCUCCAAACAACUAACCUAAAGAUCUCUUCUUCUCCACAAAAAUUUCUUCCUCCAACUUCUGAGUUCUUCUCCAAGCCUGUGGAAAAAAGUCUACAGAGUUCUAAGAUGAAGAUUGUAGCGAAAAGCUUCCCAAUGACCGGUUAGUCAUCACAUUCUAGGAGAUCUCUAUAAUUUUGUUUCGACGGUGCUUUUUAUUGUGAAAUCUUAUGUAUUCCUCUUUUAAUAU